Molecule: ribosomal RNA, 497 nt
Filed under: uncultured bacterium
Lineage: Bacteria
Description: partial 16S ribosomal RNA
Rfam family: Bacterial small subunit ribosomal RNA
Source: RNAcentral
AAUGAACGCUGGCGGCGUGCCUAAUACAUGCAAGUCGAGCGACCACACAAUGAGCUCUCGCCUCUGAGGUUAGCGGGUGGCGGAUGAGUAACCAAUAGAUAACCUACCUAUAUUUCUUGGAUAACUUCGGAAAGACAGAUCUACUAACGGCUCAUACGUUGUACCGCAUGGAUCAAUGGUUCAUGACACUUUUGCUGUCUCAUAUAGAUGAAUCCGCACCGGCUUAUCUAGGUGGUAAGGUAACGGCCUACCAAGGCAACGAUGCUGAGCUGACCUGAGAGGGUGAUCGGCCACACUGGAACUGAGACACGGUCCAGACUCCUACGGGAGGCAGCAGUAGGGAAUCUUCGGCAAUGGGCGCAAGCCUGAUGGAGCAACGCCGCGUGAGUGAUGAAGGUCUUCGGGUCGUAAAGCUCUGUUAUUAGGGAAGAAAAAAUGUGUAAUUAUCUAUGGACGUCUUGACGGUACCUAAUCAGAAAGCCCCGGCUAACUACGUG